UGGGGAAUAUUGCACAAUGGGCGCAAGCCUGAUGCAGCCAUGCCGCGUGUAUGAAGAAGGCCUUCGGGUUGUAAAGUACUUUCAGCGGGGUGGAAGGCGAUAAGGUUAAUAACCUUGUCGAUUGACGUUACCCGCAGAAGAAGCACCGGCUAACUCCGUGCCAGCAGCCGCGGUAAUACGGAGGGUGCAAGCGUUAAUCGGAAUUACUGGGCGUAAAGCGCACGCAGGCGGUCUGUCAAGUCGGAUGUGAAAUCCCCGGGCUCAACCUGGGAACUGCAUUCGAAACUGGCAGGCUAGAGUCUUGUAGAGGGGGGUAGAAUUCCAGGUGUAGCGGUGAAAUGCGUAGAGAUCUGGAGGAAUACCGGUGGCGAAGGCGGCCCCCUGGACAAAGACUGACGCUCAGGUGCGAAAGCGUGGGGAGCAAACA
Molecule: ribosomal RNA, 427 nt
Filed under: uncultured bacterium
Lineage: Bacteria
Description: partial 16S ribosomal RNA
Rfam family: Bacterial small subunit ribosomal RNA
Source: RNAcentral